AAGGUUGACCUCGGAUCAGGUAGGACUACCCGCUGACUUAAGCA
This 44-nucleotide ribosomal RNA is filed under the name Ophiostoma minus. Its description in RNAcentral is "partial 26S ribosomal RNA". Lineage: Eukaryota; Fungi; Ascomycota; Sordariomycetes; Ophiostomatales; Ophiostomataceae. The record is from RNAcentral.